RNAcentral lists this long non-coding RNA (406 nucleotides) under Lathyrus oleraceus (garden pea). RNAcentral describes it as "Pisum sativum (pea) long non-coding RNA (PSAT_LNC023633)". The record is from RNAcentral. Lineage: Eukaryota; Viridiplantae; Streptophyta; Magnoliopsida; Fabales; Fabaceae.
AAGAGGUAUCAAAACACCAAAUAAAAGUCCAAUAAAAAUGGAGGAGAUCAACAAAAUUAUAAGUAACUUGACCUCAAAAGUUGGGGUGAAAAAUGUUUUAAAAUGAUUAAAAAUAAAAUGUUAAAUGAAAAUUAAAUGGAAAAUAAAAUAAAAUAUGAAUUAAAUGCAAAAUAUGUUUUGAAAAAAAAUGCAAAAAUUAUAUGUGGUAGAAAAUAUUUUUAUGAAAUUAUGAAAAAAAGUUGGACUAAAAAAUUAUAAAGGAGCUAUUUAAAAUUAGUUUUGAAAGAAAAAGAAAUAAAAAGAAAUAAAAUAUAAAAAGAAAACAUUUAAAUGUAACGGCUAUGAAGGUGGAGCGUUCUGAUUGGCCAAGGGAUUCAAAUUUCCCCCUGAAGCGUGUGAAGCACUU